Molecule: ribosomal RNA, 240 nt
Filed under: uncultured bacterium
Lineage: Bacteria
Description: partial 16S ribosomal RNA
Rfam family: Bacterial small subunit ribosomal RNA
Source: RNAcentral
CGACCGGCGCACGGGUGCGUAACGCGUAUGCAACCUACCUUUAACAGGGGGAUAACACUGAGAAAUUGGUACUAAUACCCCAUAAUAUCAUAGAAGGCAUCUUUUAUGGUUGAAAAUUCCGAUGGUUAGAGAUGGGCAUGCGUUGUACUAGCUAGUUGGUGGGGUAACGGCUCACCAAGGCGACGAUACAUAGGGGGACUGAGAGGUUAACCCCCACACUGGUACUGAGACACGGACCAG